CCUACGGGUGGCAGCAGUGGGGAAUCUUCCACAAUGGGCGAAAGCCUGAUGGAGCAACGCCGCGUGGGUGAAGAAGGUCUUCGGAUCGUAAAACCCUGUUGGUAGAGAAGAACGUGCGUGGGAGUAACUGUUCACGUUUCGACGGUAUCUAACCAGAAAGCCACGGCUAACUCCGUGCCAGCAGCCGCGGUAAUACGGAGGUGGCAAGCGUUAGCCGGAUUUAUUGGGCGUAAAGGGAACGCAGGCGGUCUUUCAAGUCUGAAGUGAAAGCCCUCGGCUUAACCGGAGUAGUGCAUUGGAAACUGGGGGACUGGAGUGCAGAAGAGGAGAGUGGAAUUCCAGGUGUAGCGGUGAAAGGCGUAGAUAUAUGGAGGAACACCAGUGGCGAAAGCGGCUCUCUGGUCUGUAACUGACGCUGAGGUUCGAAAGCGUGGGUAGCAAACAGGAUUAGAUACCCGAGUAGUC
Molecule: ribosomal RNA, 465 nt
Filed under: uncultured bacterium
Lineage: Bacteria
Description: partial 16S ribosomal RNA
Rfam family: Bacterial small subunit ribosomal RNA
Source: RNAcentral